CCAUCUGGUGCCAGCAGCCGCGGUAAUUCCAGCUCCAAUAGCGUAUAUUAAAGUUGUUGCAGUUAAAAAGCUCGUAGUUGAAUUUCGGGGUUCUACCGUUGGUCGGGCUUUGUCUGUACUGGCGUGUAGAAUUUCUACCUUCUGGGGAACCAUCAUGUUAUUAAUUUAACGUGGUGGGAAACCAGGACCUUUACCUUGAAAAAAUUAGAGUGUUCAAAGCAGGCUUAUGUCUGAAUACAUUAGCAUGGAAUAAUAAAAUAGGACGGUGGUCCUGUUUUGUUGGUUUCUGAAUCACCGUAAUGAUUAAUAGGGAUAGUUGGGGGCAUUAGUAUUCAAUUGUCAGAGGUGAAAUUCUUGGAUUUAUUGAAGACUAACUUCUGCGAAAGCAUUUGCCAAGGAUGUUUUCAUUAAUCAAGAACGAAAGUUAGGGGAUCGAAGACGAUCAGAUANCCGUUCGUAGUUCUUAACCCCAUAAANCUAUGCCGANCUAGGGGAUUCGGANCGAUGUAUUU
RNAcentral lists this ribosomal RNA (512 nucleotides) under Racocetra persica. Its description in RNAcentral is "SSU rRNA". It matches the Rfam family "Eukaryotic small subunit ribosomal RNA", at positions 556 to 1071 of the family's 1831-position model. Lineage: Eukaryota; Fungi; Glomeromycota; Glomeromycetes; Diversisporales; Gigasporaceae. The record is from RNAcentral.